GCAUCGAUGAAGAACGCAGCGAAAUGCGAUACGUAAUGUGAAUUGCAGAAUUCAGUGAAUCAUCGAAUCUUUGAACGCAUAUUGCGCUCUCUGGUAUUCCGGAGAGCAUGCUUGUUUGAGUAUCAGUAAACACCUCAACUUCCAUAUCUUUUUUGAAAUGGGAGUUGGACUUGAGUGAUCCCAACGCUUUUCCUCACCGAAAAGUGGCGGGUUACUUGAAAUGCAGGUGCAGCUGGACUUUUCUCUGAGCUAUAAGCAUAUCUAUUUAGUCUGCCUAAAAAACAGAUUAUUACCUUUGCUGCAGCUAACAUAAAGGAGAUUAGUUCUUGUGCUGACUGAUGCAGGAUUCACAAAGACAGGCUUCGGCCGACUUUGUAAACUCGAUCUCAAAUCAAGUAAG
This 400-nucleotide unclassified non-coding RNA is filed under the name uncultured bacterium. Its description in RNAcentral is "contains 16S-23S intergenic spacer region". The stretch from base 1 to 125 matches the Rfam family "5.8S ribosomal RNA", at positions 30 to 154 of the family's 154-position model. The record is from RNAcentral.